AAGGGGGGAUAGAAAUCAGUAAGUACUGCUAAUACUUAUGUACCGGGGUUAAAAUCCCCGGCUUCCUUA
RNAcentral lists this transfer RNA (69 nucleotides) under Phoxinus phoxinus (Eurasian minnow). RNAcentral describes it as "tRNA-Ser". The record is from RNAcentral. Lineage: Eukaryota; Metazoa; Chordata; Actinopteri; Cypriniformes; Leuciscidae.